This 253-nucleotide ribosomal RNA is filed under the name uncultured bacterium. RNAcentral describes it as "partial 16S ribosomal RNA". It matches the Rfam family "Bacterial small subunit ribosomal RNA", at positions 524 to 776 of the family's 1533-position model. The record is from RNAcentral.
UACGAAGGGUGCAAGCGUUAAUCGGAAUUACUGGGCGUAAAGCGCGCGUAGGUGGUUCAGUAAGUUGGAAGUGAAAUCCCCGGGCUCAACCUGGGAACUGCUUUCAAAACUGCUGAGCUAGAGUACGGUAGAGGGUGGUGGAAUUUCCUGUGUAGCGGUGAAAUGCGUAGAUAUAGGAAGGAACACCAGUGGCGAAGGCGACCACCUGGACUGAUACUGACACUGAGGUGCGAAAGUGUGGGGAGCAAACAGG